Molecule: ribosomal RNA, 496 nt
Filed under: uncultured bacterium
Lineage: Bacteria
Description: partial 16S ribosomal RNA
Rfam family: Bacterial small subunit ribosomal RNA
Source: RNAcentral
GACGAACGCUGGCGGCGUGCCUAAUACAUGCAAGUUGAGCGCUGAAGGUUGGUACUUGUACCAACUGGAUGAGCAGCGAACGGGUGAGUAACGCGUGGGGAAUCUGCCUUUGAGCGGGGGACAACAUUUGGAAACGAAUGCUAAUACCGCAUAAAAACUUUAAACACAAGUUUUAAGUUUGAAAGAUGCAAUUGCAUCACUCAAAGAUGAUCCCGCGUUGUAUUAGCUAGUUGGUGAGGUAAAGGCUCACCAAGGCGAUGAUACAUAGCCGACCUGAGAGGGUGAUCGGCCACAUUGGGACUGAGACACGGCCCAAACUCCUACGGGAGGCAGCAGUAGGGAAUCUUCGGCAAUGGACGAAAGUCUGACCGAGCGACGCCGCGUGAGUGAAGAAGGUUUUCGGAUCGUAAAACUCUGUUGGUAGAGAAGAACGUUGGUGAGAGUGGAAAGCUCAUCAAGUGACGGUAACUACCCAGAAAGGGACGGCUAACUACGU